RNAcentral lists this unclassified non-coding RNA (338 nucleotides) under soil metagenome. RNAcentral's name for it is "partial contains 5.8S ribosomal RNA, internal transcribed spacer 2, and large subunit ribosomal RNA". The stretch from base 1 to 120 matches the Rfam family "5.8S ribosomal RNA", at positions 35 to 154 of the family's 154-position model. The record is from RNAcentral.
GAUGAAGAACGCAGCAAAAUGCGAUAAGUAAUGUGAAUUGCAGAAUUCAGUGAAUCAUCGAAUCUUUGAACGCACAUUGCGCCCUCUGGUAUUCCGGAGGGCAUGCCUGUUCGAGCGUCAUUUCGACCCUCAAGCAUUGCUUGGUGUUGGGGCACCGCCUGUAAAAGGGCGGGCCCUGAAAUCUAGUGGCGAGCUCGCCAGGACCCCGAGCGUAGUAAUUAUAUUUCGUUCUGGAAGGCCCUGGCGGUGCCCUGCCGUUAAACCCCCAACUUCUGAAAAUUUGACCUCGGAUCAGGUAGGAAUACCCGCUGAACUUAAGCAUAUCAAUAAGCGGAGGA